Tyto alba (common barn owl) is the source of this 2890-nucleotide long non-coding RNA. RefSeq lists it as uncharacterized. Lineage: Eukaryota; Metazoa; Chordata; Aves; Strigiformes; Tytonidae. The record is from RefSeq and is a predicted model, not a curated record. The transcript is spliced from 6 exons.
CACGCCCUCAGCGACGGUCGGGCGGGGCCACCGCGCAGGCGCAGGAGGGCGGAGCGCGGCCCCGCAGCUGCAGCGCGGGGAGCUGUUGCCGGCCGUUAGGACCGUUACCCGCGGCACCUGCCCGCCCAGCGACGGCGUCUGUGGGCUCGGUGCGUUUCCCGCCGCUUCGGGGGAGGGGGCUGAGCUCGGCUCAGGGGCGACUGCUUUAAAGGUUGUAAGGUUUCUGCAUUAAAAAGGGCUGCACAGUUCUGCAAAACCUGAGUAAGCUGUGGGACUUCUGACAGCAGCCACAUAUGGGAAGGACAGACAUAAGCAACAAGAACACAUGAAAAAAAGUUACACUUGAGAAUGAGCAUUAGAAAAGACAAGCCAGAAGGAGAAGGCAAUAAACCUAAGAAGAACAGUGCAAAGAGAAGAUUUCUGAAGAGGAAACAACCUACAUUGUCAUAGAGUUCUGCUUAAACCAUGGGCAUCAUCGCCAGAGAAAUACAAAAACUUUGAACUGACAGUGUGACUGCAUUCAGGAAGUACCAGGUAAAAGCCAUCUGGAUGGGACAAUACAACAUCAGGGAGAAAAUAAAGAACAGAGGAAAGAAUUUAAUAACUCUAACAAAUGUCAUGCCUUUGCUUGAAGAAGUGAGCAAGCAUUGAAAAGGGUCAUUACUAGACAACAAUAAUGCUUAACGAUACUUCCCAAGAGACAUACAUUGGAAAUAAUAGCACUAUCUUAUAUUUCUUCCACAGAGCUGAAAACCCAUUUUCUGACUUCUCUCUUGCGUGUGUGCAUAGAUAUAAUAUAAAUACACAUUCAUGUACAAAGUAUAUACAUAUGUAUAGCAUAUAUAGUAUACACAUGCAUAUAAGACAUGUAUAAACUAUAUAUAUACAUAAUUGUUACUGACAAGCCUUCUGUGGUUCACUACAACUACUGAGGAGAAAAACCUACUAUGCUAUAAUGUCCUUUUGUUGUUUUGUCUCUUUCAGGGCAGGGGGGUAGUUGCUCAAUGUUUCUGCAUAACAAAACACAUUUUCCUGCACAGUCACAAGAGAAAAAAGUCACACAAAAUAUUAUGGCUCUUAUUAAGAGCAAAUCCAUUAAGACAAGUUCAUAUGCUCUAGAAAACCAUUGCAGCUCCAACCUUGAGUCUUUCUUCAAGAAGAAUUAGGAGAAGGUCUUUACCCAGUCAUCAGGUUUUCCAUCCAGAGCUUGAAAAUGCUUACCAGAAAAUGAAACUGGGCAUUCCUCUUAAGGGGAUUAUCCUGUGUGGUAUUUAUAGCUUGCCCUAGGUAUCUCUCCUCCUUUGUGCCCUUUAUUGAUAGAGCAUCCUCAUUUGUGCUUCAGAUACAUUAAUUUAGGGCAAUGUGGGCCUAAUUUCAUGCAUAGCAAUGUGGACACAGGUAAUGUUUUACUAAGGUGUCCAGGAGUCCUAUCUUAGGUCAGUGAAGACCUAAAAUUAAGCCAUGCACAGAGAGCAGACUAUUUUAUCAGAUUUGAAUCCUGUGAAAACCAGGGAAUCCCAUGGCCAAACAAAUAGUGUGCAUUGACAUUAAACAGAAAACAAAAUCAUUCCAGUCAGUAAGGACAUUUGUUCUGUGAUUUUGUGGAGGGUUUUUUUCUUGUAUUUUUCCUUUUCUCUGAUAUGACAAACCUAUUCCUUAUAAAUACUAUAAGGAAAUUAGUCUUAAUCAUUACUUCUCCUCAACCCAUGUUUCAAUAAUAUCUCUAAGGAGUUAACUGUUGCACUAGUCUGAAAGUGUUAUGUAGGCAUAUCACAAUAUUGGUUUAUUUUUCUUGCUACCCACAAGUAUAUUAUUUCAGAAUUAUUUAAGCAAGGAAAUCUCCCUGGAUUUUGUGUUCUUUCUGUGCAAGUAUCAAGACAUCCUGCAAAUAUUUUAUCAGCUAUAAAAUCUGUUAUCAGGAAUGCCAAAUCAUUUUCAGAUGAAUGUAUUUCCCUUUAUUCCACUGAACAAACUCAGCCUGAAUUUUAGCCUGCACAGAAAUUGUGAUCCAGGGCGAUUUUGCACUAUUCUACAGCAAUAUGUUUAACUGUAUGGAAUUGUUUAAGUGCAACAUCACUUUUUUAAUGAGCCUACUUCAGCAUCUUACAGACAUGGUCUACAAAGGCAUAUUUCUCAAGACUGGAGAGGUAUGGACAGAAAAGGACAGAUGGUAUCUCUGCAGAGGGGCACAUUAGUAAGGAGCCCCUGGGAAGAAAGGAAGGAACAGUGGUAGGACUAGGCUUGGAGAUGAAGUUGGAAGCAGUGGUAAGGCGGCAAUGCCCAAGUGACUGAUCACAGUACACUCAACCAGAGACAAUCCCCAGGAAACACCUACCCAGCUCUCAGGGAUUGCCCUGCGAAGGAAACAGGGGCGAAGGUCUGAAUGGCAGCUGUGCAGCUCCCUGUGGCAGAUCCCUGCCCUGUCUGACUCGAAUCUGCUCACCGCUGCUCCAUCCCCCCCCACCUGGGCCUGCCCCCACUGCUUCUUCCUGGCAGUGCUCCCAGCAGAUAAUCCGAAGCAACAUACUGCUGCCUCAGGAUACAGACCCUAUUGCACUCAGGGCACACUUCUAAAUUUUAGACCUGUCAUUGUAAGGCCUGUUAGCAGAAAAGUUAUAUUUAUUCCUGCAAGAAUCAAAGUACAGAUCUAAAAGAUAAAGUGUGAUUUAUCUAUCAGGGUUUUUUAAUGAACUGUCAGCCAUCAAUGAGCAGAUAUAGAAGUAGCAAAAUGUUCUGUUCACUGUGUUUUCUUUGUGGUGUUAGGUAAAAAAAGAAAAUGACUUCACCAGCACUGAUUCUGAAAAUAUUUUUCUACUCCUUACAAAUGGCGUAGUAUGGUAGAAGUUUGUCAUCAUUAAAACCAGCUACAAUAAAGUAACUAAACACAAAA